Long non-coding RNA from Anas platyrhynchos (mallard), 2717 nucleotides. RefSeq lists it as uncharacterized. NCBI's taxonomy places the organism in Eukaryota, Metazoa, Chordata, Aves, Anseriformes, Anatidae. The record is from RefSeq and is a predicted model, not a curated record.
ACCAAGGGACAGAAGACCUCUUACAAGGAGACCUCCAAGUCUGAAACCAAGAUGCAACAUACCAGGCCCAGCUUUCCAGGAGCAUCUGUCAGACUGUCUGAGUGUUUGUGAGAACAGUGUAGAAACCUCUGCAGGCAGAAGGUCAAGCAGGUGACCCAGAUGUGGCUGGCAGGAGCUGAGGGUCACUAAGAGCCUCGCCAGUUCCAGAUCUGCACAGGAAGCACACAACGCUCUUCUAAUUUCUAAACGACUUGUGCAACCUCUAUGCGUAACACCCUGUGGCAUGACCACGGAGAAAGACUUCCUGCUUGGUUGCAAGGAUGAUUUGGACACUGAAGCUCCUUCUGUAGUCUCUACUUUUUUUUUUUUUUUUCCCCAACUUUAAUUUUUACCAUAGUAAAGUCAAGCCACAAAGCCCAUACAGUAGAGGCAGACAAGCAGCUUUGUCAAACAUAAUACAAUUCUAAAUGCAUUCAGAGAAGGUAAGCUGUAGUUCUAAAAGCAUAAUGAAUAGCAACUAGAGGCAUAAACCGGACAGAUAAAAGAAGGAAAAAAGUACAAGAAAGCUAAAAAGCUAAUUAAGUGUUGUCAGCAUGCAAAAAGAAAGUAAUCAUUGGAACAGAAAGCUGUAUGUUGCUCUUCAAAGCCAGGGUGAGGUGGAGAUACCAUUGCACUGGCUGGAGUGCACAAUGGCUGAUAUCUCCUCUGUGGAGCUACAUGGAAACUUCAGCACCUGGAUGCACUUGCCAGUGAUAGCAUUGCCUCCUAACUGCCUGCUGGGAUGCAUAGCCUUCUCUCCUUGUCUGCCAGUGCCCAGGAGAAACCCAGGUGACAGGGAAUACCAGUGCUUUUCAGCAAGACCCCUGUCCGGUUGCUUGGGGAGCCAGGACUGGCAGGCUCAGUGCUGAGAACAGGUGUGGGUACGGCCCCGGAGAGCACCCACCUGCCACAUCAGGGCAUCACUGCCCCUUUCCCAGCCAGAUUUGGUCUGGGUCAGGUUGAUCCAAGCUGCCUCUAAUUUCUAACGCUAUAGAUGCUCUCAAUACACCUGCCAGCUCUUGCUAGCAGACAGCUGCCACCAGAGUUUGAGCAGAGUACAACGAAUAACCAUCAGAGCAGCUGAGCUUUGGAUGCAUUGGUACAUACAUAGAAUAAAAUAGUUCCUAAUUCAGAUAAGCAGGAUCUUAAAACUUUGAGCAUGCUUAAUGUCACUGGAUGUGUCAGGCUCUUCCUCAGGCUGUGAGACCCUGCCACCGUGCUACCAAGCUGUGAGGUUGGAGGGCAGAAAGCAAAAUGGCUUUCCAGUCAGCAGUGUCUUGACGAGGAGGAGGUCACAGGACCCAUGAAUGCUGAUGGUAAUAUUUUCCCAUGCCUCCUUAGUCUUCUCUUCAGUGUUCUCUAAAAUAUGUUGAGACUGUUGAAUUUUAGAUGUAGAUGUUUUGACUGCCAAGUCAGUUUACAUUAUGAAUAAUAGCUCAUCGACAUUUCACCAGAAAAAAAAAAAAUCAUAAUUAAAAUAGAUUCCAAAAAAUGAUUUACAUAUUUUGCAAUACCACAAGAAUGUGGUGGUUUAUUAUGUCAGGUUUGUCAGGAUAGGAUUAUUCCUGUACAUGUCAGAUCCCAGGUUCCUGCACUCUGCUCAUGGCAAGCAUACUACAAGAAAUUUGUCCACUGCUUAAAACUGAGCUAAUUAUGCAGAAAAGCUCAUUUUACAGUUCUUGAGUAUGCACUUUUGUUUUAGCCCUAGCUAGGCCUUCUUCCCCUUCAGGAACAAUUUCAAAAGUAGUAAAAGCUUUAGCAGCCCUGAAAAGAGAAAUGAAAAAUCAUGUGGUGGCCAGUCUCAGUUCCCUGUGUGCUCUGAGGACUUGAUCGAAAACCCACCCAAGCAAGGCAUCAGCUCUGCACAGGGGGAAGGUGCGGCUGGUUGAGGUGGAGCCAGGGCACCAAAUCUUUGCUCCCAGCACUUCAGGAGGGAAAGCCUGAGACCCUAAACCUCUAAUUCACAGAGAUGCUUUUGAAAUGACCACUUUGCUGUGUUCGCCCCAAAAGAAGCAAAGAGCAGGAGCUGCCCAGCUAACAGAAUUGGAACAGUCCUCUGAACAGCUACACAAAAACAGCGGUGGUUAUUCACAGCAGGACCAGCAGGACCCUCCUACACACAACAGGCUGAGGCAGAGUUAUGGCCCUGUGAGGGUGUGUGAUCUCCUUAAUGGUGCUGAUGAUGCUGACGGUGUUCAGCUCAACUGAUUCUGAAGGAUACAAACUGGGGAAGCUCUCCAUAUGGGGAAAUAUUAACUGAAGAAGCACUUCUAUGUGACUGCCAAAGAACAUGUCCCAUGGUGGAUACCUCCUUUUGAAACAAGGGGAAGAAGGGAGUAACCACGCAGCACAGAGAAGAAAGCUUUGCAGAAGGAGGAGGAAGAAAAGGACUCUACAAGCUGGGAACAAGAAUGCUGGGCUGGCGGUUUGAACUAGUUCCCUUGAGUUCCUUCUCAAUCUCUUACCUCUCUGUAUCCUCAUUAUUUGAUUAUUACAAGAGAAAUCUAAAGAGUGCAUUCACAGAUUCCCAAAUAAAGGUCUGAGACAACUGUGAAGAAUCAGAAGAGCAGACAAUGUUUUUUGCAACCUAUCAAUCAAGACUGACCAAGUCAAACGUUGCUUGAUGCUGGUUUUUAUAUCUCUGCUUAUUAUAUUUUUAAUGGAUGUGGUGCCCGGCA